Molecule: ribosomal RNA, 432 nt
Filed under: uncultured Methylobacterium sp.
Lineage: Bacteria; Pseudomonadati; Pseudomonadota; Alphaproteobacteria; Hyphomicrobiales; Methylobacteriaceae
Description: bacterial SSU rRNA
Rfam family: Bacterial small subunit ribosomal RNA
Source: RNAcentral
CGGGGGGCAGCAGUGGGGAAUAUUGGACAAUGGGCGCAAGCCUGAUCCAGCCAUGCCGCGUGAGUGAUGAAGGCCUUAGGGUUGUAAAGCUCUUUUGUCCGGGACGAUAAUGACGGUACCGGAAGAAUAAGCCCCGGCUAACUUCGUGCCAGCAGCCGCGGUAAUACGAAGGGGGCUAGCGUUGCUCGGAAUCACUGGGCGUAAAGGGCGCGUAGGCGGCCAUUCAAGUCGGGGGUGAAAGCCUGUGGCUCAACCACAGAAUUGCCUUCGAUACUGUUUGGCUUGAGUUUGGUAGAGGUUGGUGGAACUGCGAGUGUAGAGGUGAAAUUCGUAGAUAUUCGCAAGAACACCAGUGGCGAAGGCGGCCAACUGGACCAAUACUGACGCUGAGGCGCGAAAGCGUGGGGAGCAAACAGGAUUAGAUACCCGGGU